AUUGAACGCUGGCGGAAUGCUUUACACAUGCAAGUCGAACGGCAGCACGGACUUCGGUCUGGUGGCGAGUGGCGAACGGGUGAGUAAUACAUCGGAACGUGCCCAGUCGUGGGGGAUAACGUAGCGAAAGCUACGCUAAUACCGCAUACGAUCUAAGGAUGAAAGCGGGGGAUCGCAAGACCUCGCGCGAUUGGAGCGGCCGAUGGCAGAUUAGGUAGUUGGUAGGGUAAAGGCCUACCAAGCCGACGAUCUGUAGCUGGUCUGGGUGGAGGAUCAGCCACACUGGGACUGAGACACGGCCCAGACUCCUACGGGAGGCAGCAGUGGGGAAUUUUGGACAAUGGGCGCAAGCCUGAUCCAGCCAUUCCGCGUGCAGGAUGAAGGCCUUCGGGUUGUAAACUGCUUUUGUACAGAACGAAAAGGCUCUGGUUAAUACCCGGGGCUCAUGACGGUACUGUAAGAAUAAGCACCGGCUAACUACGUGCCAGCAGCCGCCGUAA
This 500-nucleotide ribosomal RNA is filed under the name uncultured bacterium. RNAcentral's name for it is "partial 16S ribosomal RNA". It matches the Rfam family "Bacterial small subunit ribosomal RNA", at positions 30 to 523 of the family's 1533-position model. The record is from RNAcentral.